This 1038-nucleotide ribosomal RNA is filed under the name Tolypocladium endophyticum. RNAcentral describes it as "SSU rRNA". It matches the Rfam family "Eukaryotic small subunit ribosomal RNA", at positions 66 to 1116 of the family's 1831-position model. The record is from RNAcentral. Lineage: Eukaryota; Fungi; Ascomycota; Sordariomycetes; Hypocreales; Ophiocordycipitaceae.
UAAGCAAUUAUACAGCGAAACUGCGAAUGGCUCAUUAUAUAAGUUAUCGUUUAUUUGAUAGUACCUUACUACUUGGAUAACCGUGGUAAUUCUAGAGCUAAUACAUGCUAAAAAUCCCGACUUCGGAAGGGAUGUAUUUAUUAGAUUAAAAACCAAUGCCCUCUGGGCUCUCUGGUGAUUCAUGAUAACUUCUCGAAUCGCAUGGCCUUGCGCCGGCGAUGGUUCAUUCAAAUUUCUUCCCUAUCAACUUUCGAUGUUUGGGUAGUGGCCAAACAUGGUUGCAACGGGUAACGGAGGGUUAGGGCUCGACCCCGGAGAAGGAGCCUGAGAAACGGCUACUACAUCCAAGGAAGGCAGCAGGCGCGCAAAUUACCCAAUCCCGACACGGGGAGGUAGUGACAAUAAAUACUGAUACAGGGCUCUUUUGGGUCUUGUAAUUGGAAUGAGUACAAUUUAAAUCCCUUAACGAGGAACAAUUGGAGGGCAAGUCUGGUGCCAGCAGCCGCGGUAAUUCCAGCUCCAAUAGCGUAUAUUAAAGUUGUUGUGGUUAAAAAGCUCGUAGUUGAACCUUGGGCCUGGCUGGCCGGUCCGCCUCACCGCGUGUACUGGUCCGGCCGGGCCUUUCCCUCUGUGGAACCCCAUGCCCUUCACUGGGUGUGGCGGGGAAACAGGACUUUUACUUUGAAAAAAUUAGAGUGCUCCAGGCAGGCCUAUGCUCGAAUACAUUAGCAUGGAAUAAUGAAAUAGGACGUGCGGUUCUAUUUUGUUGGUUUCUAGGACCGCCGUAAUGAUUAAUAGGGACAGUCGGGGGCAUCAGUAUUCAAUUGUCAGAGGUGAAAUUCUUGGAUUUAUUGAAGACUAACUACUGCGAAAGCAUUUGCCAAGGAUGUUUUCAUUAAUCAGGAACGAAAGUUAGGGGAUCGAAGACGAUCAGAUACCGUCGUAGUCUUAACCAUAAACUAUGCCGACUAGGGAUCGGACGAUGUUAUUUUUUGACUCGUUCGGCACCUUACGAGAAAUCAAAGUGCUUGGGCUCCA